CCAGGGCCCAAGUGAAUACAACACAUGGCCUUUUCUGGUGCUCCACUGCACAGAUUCUUCUGAAAAUAAGGUGGGGCAGGAGGGCCCCAAGGAAGCUGGAAAGCAAGCAGACAAACUCACUCUCGGAUGGUUGCGUCCGUGUCCCGGUCCCAGGCAAUUCAAUACUGAAGAAUGGGAGAAAACGAGGAAAUUAAAAAUGGAAGAAGAGAAGGAGAGAGCUCGUAUCAGAGUCUGGAAUUGGAACGUGCUGCAGAAGAUUGAGAGAACCCAGAAUAUGGACAGGAACCAAGAGUUCUUCUGUAU
Mesocricetus auratus (golden hamster) is the source of this 303-nucleotide long non-coding RNA. RefSeq lists it as uncharacterized. The transcript has 3 exons. The record is from RefSeq and is a predicted model, not a curated record. NCBI's taxonomy places the organism in Eukaryota, Metazoa, Chordata, Mammalia, Rodentia, Cricetidae.